AGAAAGUAGUAUAAUGGAAGUACAAGGGGUUUUGAGCCCCUGGGUACAGGUUCAGGUCCUGUGUUUCUA
This 69-nucleotide transfer RNA is filed under the name Plestiodon tunganus. RNAcentral describes it as "partial tRNA-Gln". It matches the Rfam family "tRNA". From Rfam's summary of the family: Transfer RNA (tRNA) molecules are approximately 80 nucleotides in length. Their secondary structure includes four short double-helical elements and three loops (D, anti-codon, and T loops). Lineage: Eukaryota; Metazoa; Chordata; Lepidosauria; Squamata; Scincidae. The record is from RNAcentral.